This 646-nucleotide long non-coding RNA is filed under the name Heterocephalus glaber (naked mole-rat). RNAcentral's name for it is "lncRNA (ENSHGLG00000047891.1)". Lineage: Eukaryota; Metazoa; Chordata; Mammalia; Rodentia; Bathyergidae. The record is from RNAcentral.
GCGACCUCCAGCAGGUCUUGUGUCCUCGAGCUCGUCCCCCGGCCACGCCGCUGUGACCCCCGCUGGCCCGACCCUCUCGCGAUCACCGCCCGUCCUUGGCCACGCAGCCGCGAGUCCCUCCCGGAGCUCCGCGGACUCCGGCGCGCCCGGCCGACCCGGACCCAGGCCCUACCCGCGCGGGCCUCAGGGCCACAGGCCGCAAGCCCAUUGGUUGGCACCGUCCACACCCACGCCCAUGGUGGGUCUUCCUUCAAAAUCCAGCAGCUGUUUCAAAAUUGAUACGGAGACGUGGAGGACGCACAGCAGCAGAAACAUUUUGAGAAAGAAAAGCAAAGAAGACUUCAGAUGCGGACCUGCUCACUUGCGACAGCCAAUCGAUCACACACAGGAGCUGGUGACCUCGAGGGAAAGGGACAGUGCUCAGUCAAGGGGCCCCAAGAACAGCGGGCUGUGGAUGUGGGCAGACGUGAGCCUCGGCCUGGGGCGGCUCCCGGGCAGGCACUCCCUAGCAUUCUGGAGGCUGGGGCUGUUCCCGAACCACACUCCAAGGUGAGCACACUGUGCACACACAUCAGUUCGAAGUGCAUGAUGGACUGAAAUGAAAAGCCCCUGCUCAGGCCCACAGCCCACAGCUAGAUACCUUGUG